AGUGAACGCUGGCGGUAGGCCUAACACAUGCAAGUCGAACGGCAGCACAGUAAGAGCUUGCUCUUACGGGUGGCGAGUGGCGGACGGGUGAGGAAUACAUCGGGAUCUACUUUUUCGUGGGGGAUAACGUAGGGAAACUUACGCUAAUACCGCAUACGACCUACGGGUGAAAGCAGGGGAUCUUCGGACCUUGCGCGAUUGAAUGAGCCGAUGUCGGAUUAGCUAGUUGGCGGGGUAAAGGCCCACCAAGGCGACGAUCCGUAGCUGGUCUGAGAGGAUGAUCAGCCACACUGGAACUGAGACACGGUCUAGACUCCUACGGGAGGCAGCAGUGGGGAAUAUUGGACAAUGGGCGCAAGCCUGAUCCAGCCAUACCGCGUGGGUGAAGAAGGCCUUCGGGUUGUAAAGCCCUUUUGUUGGGAAAGAAAAGCAGCAGGUUAAUACCCCGCUGUUCUGACGGUACCCAAAGAAUAAGCACCGGCUAACUUCGUG
This 492-nucleotide ribosomal RNA is filed under the name uncultured bacterium. RNAcentral describes it as "partial 16S ribosomal RNA". It matches the Rfam family "Bacterial small subunit ribosomal RNA", at positions 29 to 507 of the family's 1533-position model. The record is from RNAcentral.